CCUACGGGUGGCAGCCGUGGGGAAUAUUGGUCAAUGGGCGCAAGCCUGACCCAGCAACGUCGCGUGAAGGAAGAAGGCCCUCGGGUUGGUAACUUCUUUUUACAUGGACGAAAACUGUUCCGGUACUUGAGGAAUAAGCCUCGGCUAACUACGUGCCAGCCGCCGCGGUAAUCCGUAGGGUGCGAGCGUUCUCCGGAUGUAUUGGGUGUAAAGGGCGUGUAGGCGGGAGCGGAAGUCAGAUGUGAAAACUCAGGGCUCAACCCUGAGUCUGCAGUUGAAACUGUGUUUCUUGAGUGCAGGAGAGGCAAGCGGAAUUCCGUGUGUAGCGGUGAAAUGCGUAGAUAUACGGAGGAACACCAGUGGCGAAGGCGGAUUGCUGGACAGUAACUGACGCUGAGGCUCGAAAGCGUGGGGAGCAAACAGGAUUAGAUACCCGGGUAGUC
This 443-nucleotide ribosomal RNA is filed under the name uncultured bacterium. Its description in RNAcentral is "partial 16S ribosomal RNA". It matches the Rfam family "Bacterial small subunit ribosomal RNA", at positions 338 to 795 of the family's 1533-position model. The record is from RNAcentral.